AUUGAACGCUGGCGGCAUGCCUUACACAUGCAAGUCGAACGGUAACAGGUCUUCGGACGCUGACGAGUGGCGAACGGGUGAGUAAUACAUCGGAACGUGCCUAGUAGUGGGGGAUAACUACUCGAAAGAGUGGCUAAUACCGCAUGAGAUCUACGGAUGAAAGCAGGGGAUCGCAAGACCUUGUGCUACUAGAGCGGCCGAUGGCAGAUUAGGUAGUGGGUGGGAUAAAAGCUUACCAAGCCGACGAUCUGUAGCUGGUCUGAGAGGACGAUCAGCCACACUGGGACUGAGACACGGCCCAGACUCCUACGGGAGGCAGCAGUGGGGAAUUUUGGACAAUGGGCGAAAGCCUGAUCCAGCAAUGCCGCGUGCAGGAUGAAGGCCUUCGGGUUGUAAACUGCUUUUGCACGGAACGAAAAGCCCCGGGUUAAUACCCUGGGGUCAUGACGGUACCGUAAGAAUAAGCACCGGCUAACUACGUGCCAGCCGCCGCAGUAA
RNAcentral lists this ribosomal RNA (498 nucleotides) under uncultured bacterium. Its description in RNAcentral is "partial 16S ribosomal RNA". It matches the Rfam family "Bacterial small subunit ribosomal RNA", at positions 30 to 523 of the family's 1533-position model. The record is from RNAcentral.